Molecule: long non-coding RNA, 329 nt
Organism: Pseudophryne corroboree (corroboree frog)
Lineage: Eukaryota; Metazoa; Chordata; Amphibia; Anura; Myobatrachidae
Exons: 2
Source: RefSeq, a predicted model, not a curated record
AGCAGAAGAACACUGAGAGAGGGAAGAUCCCGGCAUCAUCCUGCACUUCCAUGCACAGACAGUGGGGCGGCAGUACCAGUGGACCCUGUACCUCCACCAUGAAGGUUACCAUCACCAGAGAAACUACGCCAUUAUUCCACCUGCUGGAGACAGCAAUAAUUACAUGUAUCUCACGAGCAGGGCCCUCUUCCCUCAUGUGCUUAUCCUUCUCCUACAUAAACCAUCUUCGAUGGCACCAAAUCCCAUGAUUUUCUGCCACCCUGAUACUUAUUUCAGUGUUGUCUGCUGAUGUACAGGACGAUAUGACAAUAAAUCCUUUGAAUCUUGAA